RNAcentral lists this small nuclear RNA (291 nucleotides) under Dipodomys ordii (Ord's kangaroo rat). Its description in RNAcentral is "7SK RNA". It matches the Rfam family "7SK RNA". From Rfam's summary of the family: 7SK was discovered as an abundant small nuclear RNA in the mid-70s but a possible function has only recently been suggested. Lineage: Eukaryota; Metazoa; Chordata; Mammalia; Rodentia; Heteromyidae. The record is from Rfam by way of RNAcentral.
GGAUGUGAGGGCGAUCUGGCUUCAACAUCUGUCACCCCACUGAUCGCCAGGGUUGAUUUGGUUGAUCUGGCUGGCUAGGCAAGUGUCCCCUUCCUCCCUCACUGCUCCAUGUGUGUCCUUCCCAAAGCUGCAUGCUCGGUUGAAGAAGACGACCAUCCCCGAUAAAUUAGGACCAGUCUUCAGUCAAAGGUUCAUGAGUAGCUACACUCCCCUGCUAGAACCUCCAAACAAGCUCUCAAGAAAGCAUUUAUACAUACAUACAUAUAUAUAUAUAUAUAUAUAUAUAUAUAU